This is a long non-coding RNA of Papaver somniferum (opium poppy), 452 nucleotides long. RefSeq lists it as uncharacterized. Lineage: Eukaryota; Viridiplantae; Streptophyta; Magnoliopsida; Ranunculales; Papaveraceae. The record is from RefSeq and is a predicted model, not a curated record. The transcript has 2 exons.
GAUGAGUUUCAUUACUUUUGGAAAAUGAAAGGAUGAGAAUUGAAAUUAAAACGUAGGAACUAUAUAUCAGAGACUUCUCAAGAGUUGGAGUCAGGGAAAGAGAAGAGUUCUAAGGAAAAAUUGCUAGGAUUUGGCUAAUUUGAGAUUUGUUUCCCGCAUCUCUUUGAGGAUGGGAACGUAAGCCUAUUGAGCCGUCAUCUCACUCCAAUUGACGAUUUUACAAAUUUUAUAUAUCGAAGGGCGAAGCAAGUGAGAAGUUUUUGCGUGUACUGCUUUUGUUUCAUUUCCAUAUAACUUGAUGUUUUACUUUGAGAGAAUAAAUGUGGAAUAUUUAGGCUUAUGAACCACUGUUAAGAAGUUUUUAUUAUACAUUUUAAAGGGAUCUGUUGAAUGGCGAAUGUAUUUGAAAGCUAUCUUUAAACUGAAUGAUUGAAAACCAUGUUUUCCUGACA